UAAUUGUUAACACAUGCAGGAUGGCCUG
This 28-nucleotide small RNA is filed under the name Bombyx mori (domestic silkworm). RNAcentral describes it as "ovarian small RNA-5882". The record is from RNAcentral. Lineage: Eukaryota; Metazoa; Arthropoda; Insecta; Lepidoptera; Bombycidae.